UUUUGGUUCACGGUCUAAUUUUCGAAGUCUCGAAAAUCGGGUCGUGACAGAUUGGUAUCAGAGCAGUCGGUUUUAGAUUCUGUAGACUUUUUCUAGGAUAGAGAGUCGUACACCUCUGUGACUCAACUCAACGACACGCCUCGCCGCGACCAGGUAUGCAUUUUAACCCUGUUUAGUAGGAUAUGAGUGGUUGCAAGGCUGUAAAAAUUUGAUGUUUGUCUUGGAAAAGUGGUAACUAUGAUUACACUUUAGAGUGUUUAAUAGUGAAAGUUCACUUUAUUACUGUCGAUGCUAGAUUCGAGUUAUUGUGAGGAGGCCGAGAGGGUUCACGUUAUAACUUACUGGCCUUAGGAAGACAAAGGGGUGACUUCGCAAAGUGCGUGACGUCCAACCCAUAGAAAUGUAUAUCAGACCUUCUAAGGUCUAGUAAGAGAUGGUAUACCUAUGGCUCAGCCUCCCACAACCAUAAUUCUAGAUGUCAAGCAUGCCUCCAUGGAGACCACGUGGUAGGCCUGGACAGUAUAGGGUUGUCUUGGUGCACAAACCACAUAGUAGACACAAACAAUAUCGUUCUUACAAGUAAGGGCGACCACGGUAGGAAUUAAGCACCCCUCAAGCAAACCAUUUUCACGGGUGAGUUUGGUUAAGUUGAAAGUCGAGAAAUAAGAUUCACCAACAGAGAGAGUGAAGCUGUGGAGGCCCUGGCUUCCAGGUUGGUUGGAGUCUUCAUGAUAUAAGUUCAGGUUCAUGGACUUCCAUAAGUGAGAUGUGCGCUUUAUGCCACUAAUGAGUCAUGGGGUGUAGGAUAUUCCUACUAAAGGAUCACCUAAUGGAUGACAAGUCGCUUUGGACCUUGGUAGAGAGGACUGAGUUCAAAAAGCAGUACGUGGUUAUCAGGACCAUGAAACUGCGUUCUAACCUAUCCUUUGGUCAGGGCAUGUAUGCUCACAAGGUGAGGGACGUGGAACUGUCAAGGUAGUCCAGCGAACCUUAGGGUUGAGAACAACAAGAAAAGAGGUCAAGCUAUGGUCAUGCCUUCGCCGUUUGAAGGAAGAAAGUCUAGAUGGGUGUUAAUAAGAACCAACCCUUGUAUAAGUGAUCUGGACUACAAAGGGUAGAACUCCAGUUUCACACAUGAGUGUAACAAAAUACUUGUGAAGCAUGCUCAGACAGAGGUAGAGAUGCUAGAUAACGUGAGUUUAAAAACUACCUGAAGAGUAGUGAGAUAGUGAUAGUGCACUAGUAAGGGGAGCAGAAGACAUAAUGUGUCUUGUGGAAAACCUUGGACAUAGAUAAAGUAUCCUCAGAGCUUGAGGAAGACUAGUUACCAAACAAGAGUUUUUAGAGAGUUCCAUAGGCUCCUUUACAAGAACUUGAUGGAUGCACACACAUGAGCCAAUAUAAGAUAUCACUACGAAAGAAAAUGUGACUUGAUCAAUCAUAAGACACUACAUGAGUUGGCCUAGGUGAAUGCAGAGGACUUAUAC
This is a non-coding RNA of Cucurbita pepo subsp. pepo (vegetable marrow), 1487 nucleotides long. Lineage: Eukaryota; Viridiplantae; Streptophyta; Magnoliopsida; Cucurbitales; Cucurbitaceae. The record is from RefSeq and is a predicted model, not a curated record.